GGUCAACUAAAGCUGAUCGACACAGUAGAGAAUUUUUAAGCGAUCUAAAUGAUGACCAACUAGAAGAACAACUGAUUAGAUCGAGCCAAAGGCUUGAAGAACUCAACAAAGAGAUUCUGCAGAUGGAAGAUAAGUUAGAAGAGAAAGGAAAAUCUGUUUUGCACUUGCAGCAGAAGUCCAAGAAAUUGGAAGACUCUUUGAUUAAUGCAAAGAAAACCUCAUCAUACAAUAAGACACAGUUGACCAAGCUUCACAAAUGUUUUCUGCAAGUAAAAGAUUAUACGGAAAGACUUAAAAGCAGUGAAAAACAACUUCAGGUUGG
This is a long non-coding RNA of Humulus lupulus (European hop), 322 nucleotides long. RefSeq lists it as uncharacterized. The record is from RefSeq and is a predicted model, not a curated record. NCBI's taxonomy places the organism in Eukaryota, Viridiplantae, Streptophyta, Magnoliopsida, Rosales, Cannabaceae. The transcript has 5 exons.